GCCGGUCACGAUGGCCGGCCCGGUCGGCGAACUUGUCGUGUACGCCGGUGCCGGAACGCCGGUCCGGUUCCGGCUGGGCGGCG
RNAcentral lists this transfer RNA (83 nucleotides) under Actinoplanes digitatis. RNAcentral describes it as "tRNA-Asp". The record is from RNAcentral. Lineage: Bacteria; Bacillati; Actinomycetota; Actinomycetes; Micromonosporales; Micromonosporaceae.